This 254-nucleotide ribosomal RNA is filed under the name uncultured bacterium. RNAcentral describes it as "partial 16S ribosomal RNA". It matches the Rfam family "Bacterial small subunit ribosomal RNA", at positions 524 to 776 of the family's 1533-position model. The record is from RNAcentral.
UACGGGGGGAGCAAGCGUUGUUCGGAUUUACUGGGCGUAAAGGGCGCGUAGGCGGUCGUGACAAGUCACUUGUGAAAUCUCCGGGCUUAACUCGGAAAGGUCAAGUGAUACUGUCGGACUAGAGUACAGAAGGGGCAACUGGAAUUCUCGGUGUAGCGGUGAAAUGCGUAGAUAUCGAGAGGAACACCUGCGGCGAAGGCGGGUUGCUGGGCUGACACUGACGCUGAGGCGCGAAAGCCAGGGGAGCAAACGGG